UUUAAAAUACAAUUCGAUUAGAAAUGCUUUGCUUUUCAAAAUAAUAAAUUAAAUUUGUUUCCUCCUCUCUCUGAAAUCCCAUUGCCAAUGCCAUUAACACAAGCCUGAAUGGAAAGAGUGCGAGAGUAUCUUGACGGGGUGCUAAAGGUUGCGAAAUUGCGCGACUGCCAGCCAGUUCGGGGAAUUCCUGUGGAAACGAUCUGGAAAAAGUGCGCUGCUGAAUCAAUUUCCUCCCGAAGACGGAAAGAAAAAAAAAGAAGGGAGAUUUUUACUGCUGGGUGCUUUCUUAAAAUAACAAAAUUACUUUUUAUAUGCAGGCGACUUUAGGACUCAGGACACAGCCGCACAAAUAACAACAACAGCAUGCCAUUGACAACCAUUAAUCAUGAAAGCCUGUCAGGGCGGGUCGCAGGCAGGCAGGCGGGCCGGGUGUGGCAAAAGAGGAUGGGGCUCGUCUGUGCUUCUGCCUGAUGAUUGUCCUGUGUUGCAUCAUGCUCGUGCCCAUGCACAACCACGCCCAACUGCGAAAUUGACAAGCAAACCGAGUGCGUUUUGACAUGACACUUGCAAGGGACCACUAGCAAUAGCAAUAGCUGUAGCAGUAGUUGUGGCUAUGGCUGGGUCUGUGGCUGAAGCACGGCCAGGACGAGACGCUGAACGUAGGCGUGAGCAGGCAGCAUAGGACAAGCACACAGUGACAUGAGGCAAGAGGCAGGAGGCAGAAGGCAAGCGACAGGCGACAACGAUAGCACUGCAAUGAAGGACCAUGUCAUGUCACAGGCUAGAGCAAUACAACGUGCCUGAUGGCCGGUCAAAGUUCAAUGCGAAAGCCAAAUUCCGAUUGUCAAGAUGUUACUGCAAGCUACAUACACAUAUGUAUGGAUAUAUUUACAUGCGAGCAUGUGUGCGAGUCGGACAUGUCUAAUUGCUCAGUUUAUGGGGGCUACAUGUCAUAAAGUGCAAAUGCAUGCCAAGCACCAACAAGCCUAAAAGCUGGCUAUAAAAUUUUCUAUUGCUGCUUCUAGGUUUGGUCCGUGAUUUGUAUGUGAAAUUUGACAUGCAUUUUCAAUUUAACAGCAGCUUUAAAGAGUCACUUCUCCAUCCAAUAAUGAAUUCCAUUCAUUUUGUUUGUCUGCCAUCCUCAUGGAGCAUCUGACCUCUACCCGCCGCGUCGCCUCGACGACUUGUGCCGUGCCGGCCACGAUAAAACUUUAUGCACUGCAAAGGCCAGCAUUGACAUUUCAAGUGCUGCCGCUCUUAUAGAAAGGAAAAAAGAGGCUACGAUGGAGGUUCACCAGUCCUGGCGCCAUUGGAGAAAAUAGUUUUAAUAAUGCACAAGACGACUCCAACGGAAAGUAACAUAAAAUGAAGGACAUACGAGACCAGCAGCAGCUCACACAGAUAAGACCCUCGACUGUCCAAGUUCCGCCCAAGUACAUCAGCAGCAACAACACCAAUAACACCAGAAUAAAAAAGAGCAUAGAAGAAGCUGGAAAACGUAAAAGGUGGCAAGAAACAGAAAACAUGGAUGGGCAAUGCAAGUUUGUCUAUUCGAUGUCAAAAUGAAUACUUUUGCAUUAUUUAUGCUAGUGCUUUUAUUUGUUUUUCCGAUAACGAAGUGCAAAAAGCAAAACAAUUCAAUGAACUCCUCGCAACGUCCACAGAGAGCCACAUUUUCGAAACUUUAAACAGCAAAGGCUUUAACCAACUACUCUUAUAC
Molecule: long non-coding RNA, 1720 nt
Organism: Drosophila nasuta
Lineage: Eukaryota; Metazoa; Arthropoda; Insecta; Diptera; Drosophilidae
Exons: 3
Source: RefSeq, a predicted model, not a curated record